Molecule: ribosomal RNA, 433 nt
Filed under: uncultured bacterium
Lineage: Bacteria
Description: partial 16S ribosomal RNA
Rfam family: Bacterial small subunit ribosomal RNA
Source: RNAcentral
AACGAACGCUGGCGGCAUGCCUAACACAUGCAAGUCGAACGAGACCUUCGGGUCUAGUGGCGCACGGGUGCGUAACGCGUGGGAACCUGCCCUUAGGUUCGGAAUAACUCCCCGAAAGGGGUGCUAAUACCGGAUAAUGUCUUCGGACCAAAGAUUUAUCGCCUUUGGAUGGGCCCGCGUUGGAUUAGCUAGUUGGUAGGGUAAAAGCCUACCAAGGCGACGAUCCAUAGCUGGUCUGAGAGGAUGAUCAGCCACACUGGGACUGAGACACGGCCCAGACUCCUACGGGAGGCAGCAGUGGGGAAUAUUGGACAAUGGGCGAAAGCCUGAUCCAGCAAUGCCGCGUGAGUGAUGAAGGCCUUAGGGUUGUAAAGCUCUUUUACCCGGGAUGAUAAUGACAGUACCGGGAGAAUAAGCUCCUGCUAACUCCGUG